Molecule: ribosomal RNA, 247 nt
Filed under: uncultured bacterium
Lineage: Bacteria
Description: partial 16S ribosomal RNA
Rfam family: Bacterial small subunit ribosomal RNA
Source: RNAcentral
AGCUAGUUGGUGAGGUAACGGCUCACCAAGGCGACGAUCGGUAGCCGAACUGAGAGGUUGAUCGGCCGCAUUGGGACUGAGACACGGCCCAGACUCCUACGGGAGGCAGCAGUGGGGGAUAUUGCACAAUGGGGGAAACCCUGAUGCAGCAACGCCGCGUGAGGGAAGAAGGUCUUCGGAUUGUAAACCUAAGUAGUCAGGGACGAAAGAAAUGACGGUACCUGAAGAGUAAGCUCCGGCUAACUAC